Molecule: ribosomal RNA, 429 nt
Filed under: Acidobacteriota bacterium
Lineage: Bacteria; Pseudomonadati; Acidobacteriota
Description: Acidobacteria bacterium partial 16S ribosomal RNA
Rfam family: Bacterial small subunit ribosomal RNA
Source: RNAcentral
UGGGGAAUUUUGGACAAUGGGGGCAACCCUGAUCCAGCAAUGCCGCGUGUGUGAAGAAGGCCUUCGGGUUGUAAAGCACUUUUGUCCGGAAAGAAAACUUCGGGGCUAAUACCCCUGGAGGAUGACGGUACCGGAAGAAUAAGCACCGGCUAACUACGUGCCAGCAGCCGCGGUAAUACGUAGUGUGCGAGCGUUAAUCGGAAUUACUGGGCGUAAAGCGUGCGCAGGCGGUGCUGUAAGACCGAUGUGAAAUCCCCGGGCUUAACCUGGGAACUGCAUUGGUGACUGCAGCGCUGGAGUAUGGCAGAGGGGGGUGGAAUUCCACGUGUAGCAGUGAAAUGCGUAGAGAUGUGGAGGAACACCGAUGGCGAAGGCAGCCCCCUGGGCCAAUACUGACGCUCAUGCACGAAAGCGUGGGGAGCAAACAGG